RNAcentral lists this ribosomal RNA (635 nucleotides) under Podosphaera euphorbiae. RNAcentral's name for it is "Sphaerotheca euphorbiae partial large subunit ribosomal RNA". It matches the Rfam family "Eukaryotic large subunit ribosomal RNA", at positions 23 to 672 of the family's 3401-position model. RNAcentral also lists the same sequence under 1 other name. Lineage: Eukaryota; Fungi; Ascomycota; Leotiomycetes; Helotiales; Erysiphaceae. The record is from RNAcentral.
ACCCGCUGGAAUUUAAGCAUAUCAAUAAGCGGAGGAAAAGAAACCAACAGGGAUUACCUCAGUAACGGCGAGUGAAGCGGUAACAGCUCAAAUUUGAAAUCUGGCUCCUUUGGGGCCCGAGUUGUAAUUUGUAGAAGAUGCUUUGGGUGUGGGCCUGGCCUAAGUUCCUUGGAACAGGACGUCGUAGAGGGUGAGAAUCCCGUAUGCGGCUGGCGCCCGCGCCCAUGUAAAGCUCUUUCGACGAGUCGAGUUGUUUGGGAAUGCAGCUCUAAAUGGGUGGUAAAUUUCAUCUAAAGCUAAAUACUGGCCAGAGACCGAUAGCGCACAAGUAGAGUGAUCGAAAGAUGAAAAGCACUUUGGAAAGAGAGUUAAACAGUACGUGAAAUUGUUGAAAGGGAAGCGCUGGCAACCAGACUUGGGCGCUGUUGAUCCGUUAGGGUUCUCCCUGGGGUACUCAGCAGUGCGCAGGCCAGCAUCGGUUUGGGGGGUUGGAGAAAGGCUGGUGGAAUGUGGCUGCCUUCGGGCAGUGUUAUAGCCACCGGUGGCAUGCAGCCUCCCCGGACCGAGGACCGCGCUUCGGCUAGGAUGCUGGCGUAAUGGUUGUCAGCGACCCGUCUUGAAAGACGGACCAAGGA